UGCCAGCCGCCGCGGUAACACGGGGGGCGCAAGCGUUAUUCGGAAUUAUUGGGCGUAAAGGGCGCGCAGGCGGUUUGAUAAGUGGGAUGUGAAAGCCCCGGGCUCAACCUGGGAACUGCAUUCCAAACUGUCAAGCUAGAGUAUGGUAGAGGGAGGUAGAAUUUCCUGUGUAGCGGUGAAAUGCGUAGAUAUAGGAAGGAAUACCGGUGGCGAAGGCGGCCUCCUGGACCAAUACUGACACUGAGGUGCGAAAGCGUGGGGAGCGAACGGGAUUAGAUA
This 279-nucleotide ribosomal RNA is filed under the name uncultured bacterium. Its description in RNAcentral is "partial 16S ribosomal RNA". It matches the Rfam family "Bacterial small subunit ribosomal RNA", at positions 506 to 784 of the family's 1533-position model. The record is from RNAcentral.